RNAcentral lists this long non-coding RNA (900 nucleotides) under Arabidopsis thaliana (thale cress). Its description in RNAcentral is "long non-coding RNA (ATHA_LNC000555)". The record is from RNAcentral. Lineage: Eukaryota; Viridiplantae; Streptophyta; Magnoliopsida; Brassicales; Brassicaceae.
UGCCAAUCCUAGGAGUACUCGUCAUUCUCUCUAUAUGUGCAAACACAUUCACCUACUGCAUUCGGAAACGAAAACUACAAAAUGGAAGAAACACAGAUCCUGAAACAGGAGAGAAUAUGUCCAUAUUCAGCGUUGAUGGCAAAUUCAAAUACCAAGAUAUCAUCGAAUCAACAAACGAAUUCGAUCCAACACACCUCAUCGGAACCGGAGGAUACAGCAAAGUCUACAGAGCAAACCUCCAAGAUACAAUCAUAGCCGUUAAACGACUACAUGACACAAUAGACGAAGAGAUAUCAAAGCCAGUUGUGAAGCAAGAGUUCCUAAACGAGGUAAAAGCAUUAACAGAGAUCCGUCACCGCAACGUUGUGAAGCUCUUCGGCUUCUGCUCCCACCGCCGCCACACAUUUCUGAUCUACGAGUACAUGGAAAAAGGAAGUUUAAACAAACUCUUAGCCAACGACGAAGAAGCUAAGCGACUCACUUGGACCAAAAGGAUCAACGUCGUGAAAGGUGUGGCUCACGCUUUAUCGUAUAUGCACCAUGACCGAAUAACACCGAUCGUUCACCGUGAUAUUAGCAGCGGAAACAUCCUUCUCGAUAACGAUUACACAGCUAAGAUCUCCGAUUUUGGUACAGCAAAACUUCUAAAGACGGAUUCAUCAAACUGGUCCGCCGUUGCUGGAACCUACGGCUACGUUGCACCAGGUAAAUCUAAAUCCCUAAAUCUGAUUUUGAGCUUAUGAAAUUUAAAUCACUAAAUUCGAAAUUGAACUUGAUUUUUCGCAACAGAGUUUGCUUACACGAUGAAGGUGACGGAGAAAUGCGAUGUGUAUAGCUUCGGGGUUUUGAUACUCGAAUUGAUAAUUGGGAAACAUCCGGGAGAUUUGGUAUCGAGUUUGU